This 766-nucleotide ribosomal RNA is filed under the name Yarrowia lipolytica. Its description in RNAcentral is "LSU rRNA". It matches the Rfam family "Eukaryotic large subunit ribosomal RNA", at positions 37 to 906 of the family's 3401-position model. Lineage: Eukaryota; Fungi; Ascomycota; Dipodascomycetes; Dipodascales. The record is from RNAcentral.
AGCAUAUCAAUAAGCGGAGGAAAAGAAACCAACAGGGAUUGCCUCAGUAACGGCGAGUGAAGCGGCAAAAGCUCAAAUUUGAAACCCUCGGGAUUGUAAUUUGAAGAUUUGGCAUUGGAGAAAGCUAACCCAAGUUGCUUGGAAUAGUACGUCAUAGAGGGUGACAACCCCGUCUGGCUAACCGUUCUCCAUGUAUUGCCUUAUCAAAGAGUCGAGUUGUUUGGGAAUGCAGCUCAAAGUGGGUGGUAAACUCCAUCUAAAGCUAAAUACUGGUGAGAGACCGAUAGCGAACAAGUACUGUGAAGGAAAGGUGAAAAGAACUUUGAAAAGAGAGUGAAAUAGUAUGUGAAAUUGUUGAUAGGGAAGGAAAUGAGUGGAGAGUGGCCGAGGUUUCAGCCGCCCCUCGUGGGCGGUGUACUGCCGACGCCGAGUCAUCGAUAGCGAGACGAGGGUUACAAAUGGGAGCGCCUCUCGGGCGUUCUCCCCUAACCCUCCACACUGCCACCGACGACAUAAUCCACCCAUUUCACCCGUCUUGAAACACGGACCAAGGAGUCUAAUGGAUAUGUGAGUGUUAGGGUGGCAAACCCCAGCGCGCAAUGAAAGUGAAUGGAUUCGUUCAGAAUCGACCGAACUUGAUUAUUAUGACAGUUUUGAGUAAACACAUCCAUUGGGACCCGAAACUUUUUAAGCUAUGCCUGGAUAGGGUGAAGUCAGAGGAAACUCUGAGGACCUCGUAGCGGUUCUGACGUGCAAAUCGAUCGUA